RNAcentral lists this transfer RNA (71 nucleotides) under Candidatus Pacearchaeota archaeon CG1_02_39_14. Its description in RNAcentral is "tRNA-Ala". It matches the Rfam family "tRNA". Rfam says of the family: Transfer RNA (tRNA) molecules are approximately 80 nucleotides in length. Their secondary structure includes four short double-helical elements and three loops (D, anti-codon, and T loops). Further hydrogen bonds mediate the characteristic L-shaped molecular structure. tRNAs have two regions of fundamental functional importance: the anti-codon, which is responsible for specific mRNA codon recognition, and the 3' end, to which the tRNAs corresponding amino acid is attached (by aminoacyl-tRNA synthetases). tRNAs cope with the degeneracy of the genetic code in two manners: having more than one tRNA (with a specific anti-codon) for a particular amino acid; and 'wobble' base-pairing, i.e. permitting non-standard base-pairing at the 3rd anti-codon position. The record is from RNAcentral. RNAcentral also lists the same sequence under 2 other names. Lineage: Archaea; Nanobdellati.
GGGCCUGUGGUUCAGUGGCAGAAUGUCCGGCUGGCAGCCGGGAGGCUCGGGUUCGAUUCCCGGCAGGUCCA